AAUGAACGCUGGCGGCGUGCCUAAUACAUGCAAGUCGAGCGAACAGACGAGGAGCUUGCUCCUCUGACGUUAGCGGCGGACGGGUGAGUAACACGUGGAUAACCUACCUAUAAGACUGGGAUAACUUCGGGAAACCGGAGCUAAUACCGGAUAAUAUAUUGAACCGCAUGGUUCAAUAGUGAAAGACGGUUUUGCUGUCACUUAUAGAUGGAUCCGCGCCGCAUUAGCUAGUUGGUAAGGUAACGGCUUACCAAGGCAACGAUGCGUAGCCGACCUGAGAGGGUGAUCGGCCACACUGGAACUGAGACACGGUCCAGACUCCUACGGGAGGCAGCAGUGGGGAAUCUUCCGCAAUGGGCGAAAGCCUGACGGAGCAACGCCGCGUGAGUGAUGAAGGUCUUCGGAUCGUAAACCUCUGUUAUUAGGGAAGAACAAAUGUGUAAGUAACUAUGCACGUCUUGACGGUACCUAAUCAGAAAGCCACGGCUAACUACGUG
Molecule: ribosomal RNA, 497 nt
Filed under: uncultured bacterium
Lineage: Bacteria
Description: partial 16S ribosomal RNA
Rfam family: Bacterial small subunit ribosomal RNA
Source: RNAcentral